UGACCGCUGGCGGCGUGCCUAAUACAUGCAAGUCGAGCGAACAGACGAGGAGCUUGCUCCUCUGACGUUAGCGGCGGACGGGUGAGUAACACGUGGAUAACCUACCUAUAAGACUGGGAUAACUUCGGGAAACCGGAGCUAAUACCGGAUAACAUGUUGAACCGCAUGGUUCAACAGUGAAAGACGGUCUUGCUGUCACUUAUAGAUGGAUCCGCGCCGCAUUAGCUAGUUGGUAAGGUAACGGCUUACCAAGGCAACGAUGCGUAGCCGACCUGAGAGGGUGAUCGGCCACACUGGAACUGAGACACGGUCCAGACUCCUACGGGAGGCAGCAGUAGGGAAUCUUCCGCAAUGGGCGAAAGCCUGACGGAGCAACGCCGCGUGAGUGAAGAAGGUCUUCGGAUCGUAAAACUCUGUUAUUAGGGAAGAACAAAUGUGUAAGUAACUAUGCACGUCUUGACGGUACCUAAUCAGAAAGCCACGGCUAACUACGUG
RNAcentral lists this ribosomal RNA (495 nucleotides) under uncultured bacterium. RNAcentral describes it as "partial 16S ribosomal RNA". It matches the Rfam family "Bacterial small subunit ribosomal RNA", at positions 30 to 507 of the family's 1533-position model. The record is from RNAcentral.